RNAcentral lists this transfer RNA (76 nucleotides) under Chromatiales bacterium. Its description in RNAcentral is "tRNA-Thr". It matches the Rfam family "tRNA". From Rfam's summary of the family: Transfer RNA (tRNA) molecules are approximately 80 nucleotides in length. Their secondary structure includes four short double-helical elements and three loops (D, anti-codon, and T loops). Further hydrogen bonds mediate the characteristic L-shaped molecular structure. tRNAs have two regions of fundamental functional importance: the anti-codon, which is responsible for specific mRNA codon recognition, and the 3' end, to which the tRNAs corresponding amino acid is attached (by aminoacyl-tRNA synthetases). tRNAs cope with the degeneracy of the genetic code in two manners: having more than one tRNA (with a specific anti-codon) for a particular amino acid; and 'wobble' base-pairing, i.e. permitting non-standard base-pairing at the 3rd anti-codon position. Lineage: Bacteria; Pseudomonadati; Pseudomonadota; Gammaproteobacteria; Chromatiales. The record is from RNAcentral.
GCCGGUGUAGCUCAGUUGGUAGAGCAACUGAUUCGUAAUCAGUAGGCCGGAGGUUCGACUCCUCUCAUCGGCACCA